AUGGCCGGCGCCGCCUGGCCGCUCUCCGCCGCCGCGGGCCUCCUCCCCGCCUCCCUUUCGCUGACCCNNNNNNNNNNNNNNNNNGUCGUCGUGCUCGUGCUGGGCGUCGCCGCGGUAUUCCUCGAGCACAUCCGCAAGAUCGGAUGCAUGCACUCGAUUGAGAGGACCGCCGUCUCGGACGCCUUCUUCGAGGACCCUGGCUCGCUCAAGAAGGUUCCCUGCCCGUCGAUUUUUGACCCUGCCGAGAAGUACAUUUCGUUGAUCGUUCCUGCUUACAACGAGGAGUGUCGGCUCCCGGAGGCUCUUACAGAGACGCUCAACUACCUGAAACAACGCUCAUCUGCCGACAAGUCAUUUACUUAUGAGGUAUUGAUUGUCGAUGAUGGAAGUACUGACCGUACCUCAAAAGUUGCCUUUGAGUAUGUAAAGAAGCACAACAUUGACAAUGUUCGAGUUCUUCUACUUGGAAGGAACCAUGGGAAAGGUGAAGCCGUCAGAAAAGGGAUGCUCCAUUCCAGGGGUCAACUCCUACUCAUGCUUGAUGCUGAUGGUGCAACUAAGGUCACUGAUUUGGCAAAGCUUGAAGCUGAGGUUCUUGCAUUGGCGGGGAAAGCACUCUCUGCUAGUUCAUCCCAGAGGCUAUCUGAUGUUGAAAUUGCUGUUUUUGGUUCCCGUGCUCAUCUGGAGAAGCAGGCUCUUGCCACGAGGAAAUGGUACCGGAACUUCCUUAUGAAAGGUUUCCACUUGGUAGUACUGUUGACCGCUGGUCCUGGAAUCAGAGAUACACAGUGUGGCUUCAAGAUGUUCACUCGAUCUGCUGCAAGGAAACUCUUUACAAACAUCAGACUUAAGAGGUGGUGUUUUGAUGUUGAGAUUGUGUACCUAUGCAAGCACCUGAGGAUCCCGAUGGCAGAAGUAUCUGUCAGCUGGACGGAGAUACCUGGGUCCAAAGUGCGCAUGACAAGCAUCCUGCACAUGGUGUUUGAGCUCCUGCUGAUCAGAGUAGGCUAUGGGCUGGGCAUAUGGAAAAUUUACUCAUAG
This 1041-nucleotide ribosomal RNA is filed under the name Triticum aestivum (bread wheat). Its description in RNAcentral is "partial small subunit ribosomal RNA". The record is from RNAcentral. Lineage: Eukaryota; Viridiplantae; Streptophyta; Magnoliopsida; Poales; Poaceae.